This 76-nucleotide transfer RNA is filed under the name Pseudomonadota bacterium. RNAcentral's name for it is "Proteobacteria bacterium (sediment metagenome) tRNA-Lys". It matches the Rfam family "tRNA". Rfam says of the family: Transfer RNA (tRNA) molecules are approximately 80 nucleotides in length. Their secondary structure includes four short double-helical elements and three loops (D, anti-codon, and T loops). Further hydrogen bonds mediate the characteristic L-shaped molecular structure. tRNAs have two regions of fundamental functional importance: the anti-codon, which is responsible for specific mRNA codon recognition, and the 3' end, to which the tRNAs corresponding amino acid is attached (by aminoacyl-tRNA synthetases). tRNAs cope with the degeneracy of the genetic code in two manners: having more than one tRNA (with a specific anti-codon) for a particular amino acid; and 'wobble' base-pairing, i.e. permitting non-standard base-pairing at the 3rd anti-codon position. Lineage: Bacteria; Pseudomonadati; Pseudomonadota. The record is from RNAcentral.
GGGCCGUUAGCUCAAUUGGCAGAGCAACUGACUCUUAAUCAGUAGGUCGCUGGUUCGACCCCAGCACGGCCCACCA